Molecule: small nucleolar RNA, 107 nt
Filed under: Gossypium hirsutum (cotton)
Lineage: Eukaryota; Viridiplantae; Streptophyta; Magnoliopsida; Malvales; Malvaceae
Description: Plant small nucleolar RNA R71
Rfam family: Plant small nucleolar RNA R71
About the family: R71 is a member of the C/D box family of snoRNAs containing the C (UGAUGA) and D (CUGA) box motifs. Multiple nearly identical copies of this snoRNA have been identified in Arabidopsis, and it is thought to function as a 2'-O-ribose methylation guide for 18S ribosomal RNA.
Source: Rfam by way of RNAcentral
AUUCCGUGAUGAGGGCACUUCCGUAAUAAUUCUUUGUAUCUUUCUUAUGCAUCAUACAAGGACUCAUCAUCUAUUUGUUAGAAAGCAGUGAUCUCGUUCCUCAACUU